AGAGUUUAAAAUUUAAUCGAAAUUAGAAUGCUUUCAUUAUUGGAACCUCCGAGACUUUU
RNAcentral lists this transfer RNA (59 nucleotides) under Porites lutea. RNAcentral describes it as "tRNA-Glu". The record is from RNAcentral. Lineage: Eukaryota; Metazoa; Cnidaria; Anthozoa; Scleractinia; Poritidae. RNAcentral also lists the same sequence under 2 other names.